AAUGGAUUCUACCAGGUCCCAGUUUACCUAAACCCUUCAAUGGAUUCUACCAGGUCCCAGUUUACCUAAACCCUUCAAUGGAUUCUACCAGGUCCCAGUUUACCUAAACCCUUCAAUGGAUUCUACCAGGUCCCAGACAGUUUACCUAAACCCUUCAAUGGAUUCUACCAGGUCCCAGUUUACCUAAACCCUUCAAUGGAUUCUACCAGGUCCCAGUUUACCUAAACCCUUCAAUGGAUUCUACCAGGUCCCAGUUUACCUAAACCCUUCAAUGGAUUCUACCAGGUCCCAGUUUACCUAAACCCUUCAAUGGAUUCUACCAGGUCCCAGACAGUUUACCUAAACCCUUCAAUGGAUUCUACCAGGUCCCAGUUUACCUAAACCCUUCAAUGGAUUCUACCAGGUCCCAGACAGUUUACCUAAACCCUUCAAUGGAUUCUACCAGGUCCCAGACAGUUUACCUAAACCCUUCAAUGGAUUCUACCAGGUCCCAGACAGUUUACCUAAACCCUUCAGUGGAUUCUACCAGGUCCCAGACAGUUUACCUAAACCCUUCAAUGGAUUCUACCAGGUCCCAGACAGUUUACCUAAACCCUUCAAUGGAUUCUACCAGGUCCCAGUUUACCUAAACCCUUCAAUGGAUUCUACCAGGUCCCAGACAGUUUACCUAAACCCUUCAAUGGAUUCUACCAGGUCCCAGUUUACCUAAACCCUUCAAUGGAUUCUACCAGGUCCCAGUUCACCUAAACCCUUCAAUGGAUUCUACCAGGUCCCAGUUCACCUAAACCCUUCAAUGGAUUCUACCAGGUCCCAGUUUACCUAAACCCUUCAAUGGAUUCUACCAGGUCCCAGUUCACCUAAACCCUUCAAUGGAUUCUACCAGGUCCCAGACAGUUUACCUAAACCCUUCAAUGGAUUCUACCAGGUCCCAGUUUACCUAAACCCUUCAAUGGAUUCUACCAGGUCCCAGACAGUUUACCUAAACCCUUCAAUGGAUUCUACCAGGUCCCAGACAGUUUACCUAAACCCUUCAAUGGAUUCUACCAGGUCCCAGACAGUUUACCUAAACCCUACAAUGGAUUCUACCAGGUCCCAGACAGUUUACCUAAACCCUUCAAUGGAUUCUACCAGGUCCCAGUUUACCUAAACCCUUCAAUGGAUUCUACCAGGUCCCAGACAGUUUACCUAAACCCUUCAAUGGAUUCUACCAGGUCCCAGACAGUUUACCUAAACCCUUCAAUGGAUUCUACCAGGUCCCAGACAGUUUACCUAAACCCUUCAAUGGAUUCUACCAGGUCCCAGUUUACCUAAACCCUUCAAUGGAUUCUACCAGGUCCCAGUUUACCUAAACCCUUCAAUGGAUUCUACCAGGUCCCAGACAGUUUACCUAAACCCUUCAAUGGAUUCUACCAGGUCCCAGACAGUUUACCUAAACCCUUCAAUGGAUUCUACCAGGUCCCAGUUUACCUAAACCCUUCAAUGGAUUCUACCAGGUCCCAGUUUACCUAAACCCUUCAAUGGAUUCUACCAGGUCCCAGUCUACCUAAACCCUUCAAUGGAUUCUACCAGGUCCCAGUUUACCUAAACCCUUCAAUGGAUUCUACCAGGUCCCAGACAGUUUACCUAAACCCUUCAAUGGAUUCUACCAGGUCCCAGACAGUUUACCUAAACCCUUCAAUGGAUUCUACCAGGUCCCAGACAGUUUACCUAAACCCUUCAAUGGAUUCUACCAGGUCCCAGUUUACCUAAACCCUUCAAUGGAUUCUACCAGGUCCCAGACAGUUUACCU
Molecule: RNA transcript, 1789 nt
Organism: Oncorhynchus keta (chum salmon)
Lineage: Eukaryota; Metazoa; Chordata; Actinopteri; Salmoniformes; Salmonidae
Exons: 7
Source: RefSeq, a predicted model, not a curated record